GACGAACGCUGGCGGCGUGCUUAACACAUGCAAGUCGAACGGAAAGGCCCUGCUUUUGUGGGGUGCUCGAGUGGCGAACGGGUGAGUAACACGUGAGUAACCUGCCCUUGACUUUGGGAUAACUUCAGGAAACUGGGGCUAAUACCGGAUAGGAGCUCCUGCUGCAUGGUGGGGGUUGGAAAGUUUCGGCGGUUGGGGAUGGACUCGCGGCUUAUCAGCUUGUUGGUGGGGUAGUGGCUUACCAAGGCUUUGACGGGUAGCCGGCCUGAGAGGGUGACCGGCCACAUUGGGACUGAGAUACGGCCCAGACUCCUACGGGAGGCAGCAGUGGGGAAUAUUGCACCAUGGGCGGAAGCCUGAUGCAGCAACGCCGCGUCCGGGAUGACGGCCUUCGGGUUGUAAACCGCUUUCGCCUGUGACGAAGCGUGAGUGACGGUAAUGGGUAAAGAAGCACCGGCUAACUACGUG
Molecule: ribosomal RNA, 468 nt
Filed under: uncultured bacterium
Lineage: Bacteria
Description: partial 16S ribosomal RNA
Rfam family: Bacterial small subunit ribosomal RNA
Source: RNAcentral